UCCAGACUCCUACGGGAGGCAGCAGUGAGGAAUAUUGGUCAAUGGCCGAGAGGCUGAACCAGCCAAGCCGCGUGAGGGAAGACGGCCCUAUGGGUUGUAAACCUCUUUUGUCGGAGAACAAAACCCGGGACGUGUCCCGGACUGCGUGUAUCCGAAGAAAAAGCAUCGGCUAACUCCGUGCCAGCAGCCGCGGUAAUACGGAGGAUGCGAGCGUUAUCCGGAUUUAUUGGGUUUAAAGGGUGCGUAGGCGGGCAUUUAAGCCGGCGGUCAAAUGUCGGGGCUCAACCCCGGCCUGCCGUCGGAACUGGGUGCCUUGAGUGGGCGAGAAGUAUGCGGAAUGCGUGGUGUAGCGGUGAAAUGCAUAGAUAUCACGCAGAACCCCGAUUGCGAAGGCAGCAUACCGGCGCCCUACUGACGCUGAGGCACGAAAGUGCGGGUAUCGAACAGGAUUAGAUACCCGUGUA
RNAcentral lists this ribosomal RNA (464 nucleotides) under uncultured bacterium. RNAcentral's name for it is "bacterial SSU rRNA". It matches the Rfam family "Bacterial small subunit ribosomal RNA", at positions 330 to 792 of the family's 1533-position model. The record is from RNAcentral.